UCUUGCUUGAGCCGUCACUCCUCCCUCCCCUCCUUCUCUUCUCCCUUCCCUCUCUCAAUUCCCUCUCCCUCACGGCCCACAACAGCUGCUGGCACACCAGACCACCAGCAGACCACCGUGAGUAGCCCGCAGCAGCACAGCCGCGUUUUCCCUCCCCCACGCACUACAAGCAGCAGCCUCACCACGAACGACCACAGCAGCGGCUGUUUCGUGAGCCACCAACAGGUAUAGCAGCCGCAAGAGGUGGUUCCUCCACCAUUUUCGUGCUCCACACCACUACAAAAACCACUUAUACCCUCACCCAUUUCUAGUUCCCCUUGUGCCCGGUUCAUAAGAGGGGCGUAAGAACCCCUUCGAAGCGAUUUUUGUGGCUUGUCAUCUUGCAGUGCAGCAGGGGCGUCGUAGAUAGGUCUUGCAGGUUUUGGAGUUUCCUUGCAUUGCAUAUGGGGGGGGAUCGAGUGAGAACCUUGACGCGUGCCGUGUUCGAACCAUUUUUGACGCUACAUGUGAUUUCGAAUUGAAAGUGUGUAUGUUUUGGUUGAGGCAUGAGUCCUCCUUUUGAUGUAAUUCGUUCCGCUGCAAAGAUUUAUAUCGUUUUAUAUUUUGUUAUAGUAUCUUGAAUGGCUUGUACAGUGGAUUAUCUUUUUGCUUGGAAAACCCAAGUGUUUACAUGGGAACCACGAUCCAUGCUUAGCAUGUCGACAGAGGUUUUGGCGAUGACCUUUCCGCCGUGAUUCUGUUACGAGGCCAUUGAUGCCUCUUCAUUAUGAUGAUUUAUCGUUUGUCUAAAUCUUCGGCGCGUCAAAUUUCAAGGCAGAUGCUGCCGAAAUUUCCGUAGGAUUUUGUUUGGAAGUUUUCAAACGUCAUCUCUUUCUUUUCCCUAUUUAAAUAAUUAUUUAUUUCUACAAGUGACACCCUUGAAGGGUCUGAAAUUCAGGGGUGUUACAAUCAUAGUUGUAAUUUCAGCCUAAUUAACUACAUGAAUUAGGUUUGGAUCAAAGAUUUCAGAACCGCAAUCAAACCCUCUAUUACU
Molecule: long non-coding RNA, 1033 nt
Organism: Amaranthus tricolor (Joseph's coat)
Lineage: Eukaryota; Viridiplantae; Streptophyta; Magnoliopsida; Caryophyllales; Amaranthaceae
Exons: 3
Source: RefSeq, a predicted model, not a curated record